CAGCAGCCGCGGGAAUACGUAGGGUGCAAGCGUUAAUCGAAAUUACUGGGCGUAAAGCGUGCGCAGGCGGUUUGUUAAGACAGAUGUGAAAUCCCCGGGCUCAACCUGGGAACUGCAUUUGUGACUGGCAGGCUAGAGUAUGGCAGAGGGGGGUGGAAUUCCGCGUGUAGCAGUGAAAUGCGUAAAUAUGCGGAGGAACACCGAUGGCGAAGGCAGCCCCCUGGGCCAAUACUGACGCUCAUGCACGAAAGCGUGGGGAGCAAACAGGAUUAGAUACCCCUGUAGUCCCUGUCUCUUAUAC
RNAcentral lists this ribosomal RNA (301 nucleotides) under uncultured bacterium. Its description in RNAcentral is "partial 16S ribosomal RNA". It matches the Rfam family "Bacterial small subunit ribosomal RNA", at positions 509 to 807 of the family's 1533-position model. The record is from RNAcentral.